GGUUUGUGGCUCAGUGAUAGAGUGCUUGCCUAGCAUGUGUGGCAUACUGGGUUCGAUUCUCAGCACCA
RNAcentral lists this transfer RNA (68 nucleotides) under Marmota monax (woodchuck). Its description in RNAcentral is "tRNA.Ala". The record is from RNAcentral. Lineage: Eukaryota; Metazoa; Chordata; Mammalia; Rodentia; Sciuridae.